Molecule: ribosomal RNA, 447 nt
Filed under: uncultured bacterium
Lineage: Bacteria
Description: bacterial SSU rRNA
Rfam family: Bacterial small subunit ribosomal RNA
Source: RNAcentral
AACGAACGCUGGCGGCAUGCCUAACACAUGCAAGUCGAACGAAGCCUUCGGGCUUAGUGGCGCACGGGUGCGUAACACGUGGGAAUCUGCCCUUCGGUUCGGAAUAACAGUUAGAAAUGACUGCUAAUACCGGAUGAUGACGUAAGUCCAAAGAUUUAUCGCCGAAGGAUGAGCCCGCGUAGGAUUAGGUAGUUGGUAGGGUAAUGGCCUACCAAGCCGACGAUCCUUAGCUGGUCUGAGAGGAUGAUCAGCCACACUGGGACUGAGACACGGCCCAGACUCCUACGGGAGGCAGCAGUGGGGAAUAUUGGACAAUGGGCGAAAGCCUGAUCCAGCAAUGCCGCGUGAGUGAUGAAGGCCUUAGGGUUGUAAAGCUCUUUACCAGGGAUGAUAAUGACAGUACCUGGAGAAUAAGACUCCGGCUAACUCCGUGCCAGCAGCCGCGGU